Non-coding RNA from Paramisgurnus dabryanus, 451 nucleotides. Lineage: Eukaryota; Metazoa; Chordata; Actinopteri; Cypriniformes; Cobitidae. The record is from RefSeq and is a predicted model, not a curated record.
UAUUUGAUAUCUCAAUAGUGUAUGUUCCACGCCUGCCAUUUGUGGAUGAGUCACUUAUCAAUUACAAUGAACGGGACCUCUUGGGUGAAGGAUCUUUUGGAAAGGUGUAUAGAGGUUCUUUUCAGGGAACCCCAGCUGCCAUAAAGAGAAUUCCAUAUGGCAUAGCAGGACUUGAAGAUCGGGACAUACAGCAUGAGAUUCUCGUCUCACUGCGACUGAGCCAUCCCAAUAUUGUUCGACUCAUGGCAGCAGCCCGCACUGACAACACCUUUUUGCUGGCCAAUGAAUACAUUCAUGGCACAACCUGGAUAAUGUGAUACACAAUGGCAAUGCUUGUGUUAAGUUUGAAGGAAACGACAGUCAUUUUGUUGCCCUUGACAUAUCCAUGGCCGUUGAAUACAUUCACUCAAAAAAUGUCAUUCAUCAGGAUCUAAAGCCUGAAAAUAUUUUG